This 230-nucleotide ribosomal RNA is filed under the name uncultured bacterium. RNAcentral's name for it is "partial 16S ribosomal RNA". It matches the Rfam family "Bacterial small subunit ribosomal RNA", at positions 562 to 791 of the family's 1533-position model. The record is from RNAcentral.
AAAGCGUGCGCAGGCGGUUAUGUAAGACAGAUGUGAAAUCCCCGGGCUCAACCUGGGAACUGCAUUUGUGACUGCAUGGCUAGAGUACGGUAGAGGGGGAUGGAAUUCCGCGUGUAGCUGUGAAAUGCGUAGAUAUGCGGAGGAACACCGAUGGCGAAGGCAAUCCCCUGGACCUGUACUGACGCUCAUGCACGAAAGCGUGGGGAGCAAACAGGAUUAGAUACCCUGGU